This 253-nucleotide ribosomal RNA is filed under the name uncultured bacterium. Its description in RNAcentral is "partial 16S ribosomal RNA". It matches the Rfam family "Bacterial small subunit ribosomal RNA", at positions 524 to 776 of the family's 1533-position model. The record is from RNAcentral.
UACGUAGGGUGCGAGCGUUAAUCGGAAUUACUGGGCGUAAAGCGUGCGCAGGCGGUGAUGUAAGACAGAUGUGAAAUCCCCGGGCUCAACCUGGGAACUGCAUUUGUGACUGCAUCGCUGGAGUGCGGCAGAGGGGGAUGGAAUUCCGCGUGUAGCAGUGGAAUGCGUAGAUAUGCGGAGGAACACCGAUGGCGAAGGCAAUCCCCUGGGCCUGCACUGACGCUCAUGCACGAAAGCGUGGGGAGCAAACAGG